CACGUAGUUAGCCGCGACUUUCUGGCGGGGCACCAUCAGUCAGCACCCAUUUCCUGAUGCUGCCUUUUUUCCCCCGCAACAGAGCUUUACGACCCGAAGGCCUUCUUCACUCACGCGGCAUCGCUCGUUCAGGCUUGCGCCCAUUGACGAAAAUUCCCUACUGCUGCCUCCCGCAGGAGUCUGGGCCGUGUCUCAGUCCCAAUGUGGCCGUCCGCCCUCUCAGGCCGGCUAUGCAUCAUCGUCUUGGUGGGCCUUUACCCGCCAACAAACUAAUGCACCGCAGGUCCAUCCGCGCCCCAUCCCCCGAAAGGAUGUUUCACAGAAAGAAGAUGCCUCCUUCCUGUACAUCGGGAUUUGUUCUCCGUUUCCAGAGCGUAUUCCCGGUGCACGGGCAGGUUCCCUACGUGUUACUCACCCGUUCGCCACUAGAGACCCGAAGGUCUCUCGUUCGACUUGCAUGUAUUAGGCAUGCCGCAGCGUUCAUCCUGAGCCAGGAUC
This 498-nucleotide ribosomal RNA is filed under the name uncultured Erysipelotrichaceae bacterium. RNAcentral's name for it is "partial 16S ribosomal RNA". The record is from RNAcentral. Lineage: Bacteria; Bacillati; Bacillota; Erysipelotrichia; Erysipelotrichales; Erysipelotrichaceae.